RNAcentral lists this ribosomal RNA (471 nucleotides) under uncultured bacterium. Its description in RNAcentral is "bacterial SSU rRNA". It matches the Rfam family "Bacterial small subunit ribosomal RNA", at positions 19 to 507 of the family's 1533-position model. The record is from RNAcentral.
AUGGCUCAGAAUCAGCUGGCGGCGUGCCUCAGACAUGCAAGUCGAACGAUUAAAGCUCUCUUCGGAGAGUGUAUAGAGUGGCGCACGGGUGAGUAACACGUAAGUAAUCUACCCUCGAGUGGGGAAUAACAACCGGAAACGGUUGCUAAUACCGCAUAAUGCAGCGGCACCGCAAGGUGACAGUUGUUAAAGAUUUAUCGCUUGAGGAGGAGCUUGCGGCAGAUUAGCUAGUUGGUAGGGUAACGGCUUACCAAGGCUACGAUCUGUAACCGGUCUAAGAGGACGGUCGGUCACACUGACACUGAAUAACGGGUCAGACUCCUACGGGAGGCAGCAGUCGGAAUUUUGGGCAAUGGGCGAAAGCCUGACCCAGCAACGCCGCGUGAAGGAUGAAGUAUUUCGGUAUGUAAACUUCGAAAGAAUAGGAAGAAUUAAUGACGGUACUAUUUAUAAGGUCCGGCUAACUACGUG